This 253-nucleotide ribosomal RNA is filed under the name uncultured bacterium. RNAcentral's name for it is "partial 16S ribosomal RNA". It matches the Rfam family "Bacterial small subunit ribosomal RNA", at positions 524 to 776 of the family's 1533-position model. The record is from RNAcentral.
UACAGGGGGUGCAAACGUUUGCUCGGAAUCAUUGGGCGUAAAGCGCACGUAGGCGGUUCGUUAUGUCGGAUGUGAAAGCCCUUGGCUUAACCGAGGAAGUGCAUCCGAAACUGGCGAGCUAGAGUACGAAAGAGGAUCGCGGAAUUCCCGGUGUAGAGGUGAAAUUCGUAGAUAUCGGGAGGAACACCGGUGGCGAAGGCGGCGACCUGGUCCUUGACUGACGCUGAGCGCGAAAGCGUGGGGAGCAAACAGG